UGCCAGCAGCCGCGGUAAUAUGGACGGUGCAUGCGUUAUCCGGAAUCACUGGGUUUAAAGGGUGCGUAGGCGGCGCUAUAAGUCAGAGGUGAAAGGCCACAGCUUAACUGUGGGACUGCCUUUGAUACUGUAGUGCUUGAAUUAGGCUGAGGUCGGCGGAAUGUGACAUGUAGCGGUGAAAUGCUUAGAUAUGUCAUAGAACACCAAUUGCGAAGGCAGCUGACUAGACCUUAAUUGACACUGAGGCACGAAGGCGUGGGGAGCGAACAGGGUUAGAUA
Molecule: ribosomal RNA, 279 nt
Filed under: uncultured bacterium
Lineage: Bacteria
Description: partial 16S ribosomal RNA
Rfam family: Bacterial small subunit ribosomal RNA
Source: RNAcentral